Long non-coding RNA from Gopherus flavomarginatus (Mexican gopher tortoise), 2074 nucleotides. RefSeq lists it as uncharacterized. The transcript has 2 exons. The record is from RefSeq and is a predicted model, not a curated record. NCBI's taxonomy places the organism in Eukaryota, Metazoa, Chordata, Testudines, Testudinidae.
GCCACCAACCCAGACUCCAGAAUGGUUGGUUUAAGAGACUAUGGGUUUAAUAUGAAAUGUCAUGGUAAUGUUUUGAAUAGGAUUUUCUACUUCUUCCUUUAGUGAAAAUAUCUUGGCCACUUGAGUUCAGCUGCCCUAUCUGACCCUAAAUUUAUUUUUUUUUCAAUAGAAAUUGAGCAUUGAAAAUGGAUGUUGAAUCAUAAAUUGUUGCUGGAAAGGCAGCUGGGCUCUUGGGAGAAAAGAAUGCCCCCCACCUUUCACGCCUCCUUCCCAUCUCUCCUUCCUCCACAUCAUUCCUGAUCUGCUUCUUCUGAGAGCUAGUUGGGUGGGUGAUGGUGCUGCUGCUACCUCCUUUAAUGGCACAGAUGUGGGAUUGACCUUCAGGUUGCUGUCACUGGCCUCUUGCUGUCCCACACCCUAGGCCUAGAGUGCAGGCUGGAGUGAAUCCCGAUGCCCAGCUAUUUGUGCUAGAUUCUGUGCUGGGCUGGCAGUACUAACCCUGCUGGAUUUUCUAUUAGAAUUUCUGCCAAAUUAACAAGGGACUAUUCUGUAUAGAGCUGUUGCUGCUACUCAGUUUCAGAGCAAAACUGUGGUGCUUUUGAAGCCCAUGGCUGUGGGCCCUCUAUGAUUAGGGGAAUCUAGAAAUGUCAGGGUUGUCUCAUCCUUCCUUUAUAUUCUUAAAAAAAAAAAAAAAAGAGUUUGUCUAGUCCUUUUCUUCGUGAAGCUUGAAAAUUUUAUUUUACAGGCCCAUGCAAAAAUUGCUAAGGGUGGCUCUGCCUAGUUCCACCCCCAAAUCCACAGCACUCCCAACUAUAUAUUGUUCAUAUGGAAGGGCUUUUGCAGGUAUUGGUGAAGGAUGACGGAGCAUGAGAUAGCCUCACUGGCCCCUCCACAGGCUGUUUGUUUCUUCUUUGCUCCUUCCUAAACCAUCCAGAGCAGACGAGCACCUGGCACAAUAUAUGUGAAUGAAAUAGAGGACUGGAAAUUUGUGUCCAACACUGAUUGAGUCUAUGCUACUGAAAAUGCCAUGGUGAUUGAUGUGAUAUAAACCUAAUUAAUAAAGAGAAAAUUACAAUCUCAUGGACUUCUAGGAUUUAGAAUAAAAUAAUAAUGUUCCUAUUGCUAACCCCUGGAUUACAUAUAUACUUCUUGCUCAACUGAGCUCCAUAAACAUUAACCUCCAUAAGCAUCAAGGGCAUUAAAAAAUAAAACAUGCUAGCUGAUAUCUCUGUCACAGUGUUUAUUUUGUUGAUAAGAACAACUAAUCAGAUUUAGUGAUGAUUUUUUCUUUCUGGACUCAUCUGUUUAGUUUGGAGUGCUUGUUCGUCUUUAUCCUUGAAUGUUACAAAAUAUAAGAAAUAAAACAAGUGUGCGUACAUGUAUUAUAUAUAAAUAAAUGGGGUGGGAAUGAUCGUAACAAAAAUAUGCACAUCUCCUUUCCUAAGUGGGGUAGGAAUGAACAUAUGCAGGUCCCUCUCCCUUCUUCUCAAAAAUAAAAUAAAAUAAAAUAAAAUAAAUCUACAUUUGACAUAUGCAUGAGGUGUAAUAUUUGUGUUUAUUUGCCUUACAUUUUCAAAUGCUGUUUAUGAGAAUGAAAGUAUAUGGGACCUGGUUUUCUUCCGAGAUUUCAAUUACCAAGUGGUGCAAAACUAUGAAAUGUGGAAUUCUUAAAUACCAGUUUGGUGAGCUUGCUGUUAUGGGCCCUCCGUAGAGUCUCUCCUCUUCAAGCCUCUUUUUUGAUCCUUUGUUUUCCCUGUAGGUCACCACUGAUCCAUCCCCUAAAGACAGUUGGCUGCUCUGAGGGUGAAGAAGGUGGCUGAUCUGCCACCAUAAAUGUUACAGAUUAUUUUAAAUAUUUGUAUAUUGAUUUAUCAGCCGCUGGUAUUAUACCCAAGUCAUAUCUAUGAAUAAUUACACUGUAUAUGGUAACCCACACAGCUUGCCACAACAAAACCAAGUUAGCACAGUAUAGUUCACAACACAUAACAUCUUUGUAACUUUUGUUAUGGAUGCUAGUUUAUCAAAUAAUGUUACAGUUAAAAUCUUAACAUUUAAAAGUACAGAGAUUAGUAUU